ACGAACGCUGGCGGCGUGCUUCACACCUGCCAGUCGCACGGAAAGGCCCUGCUUGCAGGGUCCUCGAGUGGCGAACGGGUGAGUAACACGUGGGUGAUCUGCCCUGCACUUCGGGAUAAGCCUGGGAAACUGGGUCUAAUACCGGAUAGGAGCCAUUUUUAGUGUGAUGGUUGGAAAGUUUUUUCGGUGUAGGAUGAGCUCGCGGCCUAUCAGCUUGUUGGUGGGGUAAUGGCCUACCAAGGCGGCGACGGGUAGCCGGCCUGAGAGGGUGGACGGCCACAUUGGGACUGAGAUACGGCCCAGACUCCUACGGGAGGCAGCAGUGGGGAAUAUUGCACAAUGGGCGCAAGCCUGAUGCAGCGACGCCGCGUGGGGGAUGACGGCCUUCGGGUUGUAAACUCCUUUCGCUAGGGACGAAGCUUUUUGUGACGGUACCUAGAUAAGAAGCACCGGCUAACUACGUG
Molecule: ribosomal RNA, 464 nt
Filed under: uncultured bacterium
Lineage: Bacteria
Description: partial 16S ribosomal RNA
Rfam family: Bacterial small subunit ribosomal RNA
Source: RNAcentral